AACUUCAAACUCCGACUCUGAACUCACAUCAGUUGAACGCCGGCAGCUGUGAGAACUAAUGUGAAUUGCAGAACACAUUGAUCACCGGCCCUUCAAAUGUGCUCUGCAGCUCUAGGUUCCUCCUGGGGCCAAGUCUGUCUGAGAUAGG
This 148-nucleotide ribosomal RNA is filed under the name Cynoglossus semilaevis (tongue sole). Its description in RNAcentral is "5.8S ribosomal RNA (ENSCSEG00000005486.1)". The stretch from base 34 to 148 matches the Rfam family "5.8S ribosomal RNA", at positions 40 to 154 of the family's 154-position model. Rfam says of the family: 5.8S ribosomal RNA (5.8S rRNA) is a component of the large subunit of the eukaryotic ribosome. It is transcribed by RNA polymerase I as part of the 45S precursor that also contains 18S and 28S rRNA. Lineage: Eukaryota; Metazoa; Chordata; Actinopteri; Pleuronectiformes; Cynoglossidae. The record is from RNAcentral.